Acinonyx jubatus (cheetah) is the source of this 1049-nucleotide long non-coding RNA. RefSeq lists it as uncharacterized. Lineage: Eukaryota; Metazoa; Chordata; Mammalia; Carnivora; Felidae. The record is from RefSeq and is a predicted model, not a curated record. The transcript has 3 exons.
UUUCCCUCAGGGUUGGCCGGUCCUGCCUGCCUUUCCAUCUGCCCAGUACUGGCCUUGAACACCCGGAAUGGCUUCUCUGCACGCUCUCCUGUGGGCUGCCUUCCCGCCUUGGUGCUGGCGCCCAGAGCUUGAGACCCAUUUCUGACUGCAAGAGGACUGUGGUCUCUGCCCUUGCUCCGCUGAGCUCUGGCUGCCGCCUGCAUCCAGCAUCCGUUCCCAGCACCCCCCGUCCCGGCUCCAGGCCGAGCUCAUCUGGGGCCUGCUACCAGGGUGGCGAGGACCCCACGGAAUGCUCAGACCGGGCCCCGGCACAUCACAAAUGCUGCCGAAGUGAGUUGUCAUCCACAUCAUCAGAGGCCAUGACUCUGCAUCACUCAGAGCAAGGGUGGAGCCUUCCCGGCAAGGAUUCGACUCUGUUCCAGGAAGAAGAGAGGCAAUGAGCAAAAAGACCACAGCAGGCAUGUCGUAGAGGAGGAAACGGAGUGCACAGAUGAACGCGGGAAAAGCUGCCCGAUGUCACGAGGAUGCAGGGAAGUGCAAGGUAAGGUCCCCGUGAGAGAUUUCACAUCCAUCAGGCUCACAGUGAGGAAGACAUGUGACAUCUGACAGCACCGAGGGUCUGAGAGGAUGUAGAUCAGCUGGCACCCACGGUUGACGAGUGUGAAACCUGGUCUGGCCACACUGAAAACCGCUUUGGCCUUUUCUUGUUAGGUUGACCAGUCCCAUACCUUAGCACCCUGCAAAUCCACUCCCAGGAGCCACACAAGGCACACCCAAGAAGAGUUCGUCGCAGCACUGUUCGCAAGAGGAGGGGGAGAGAGGAAGUGACCCAGAUACUCACUGACAGGGCAAUGCAAAAAGAAAUUGUAGCACAGUCACACCAUUUCUUUCCACACCGGUGACAGCAAACUCCAGCUACACAGCAGCACAGCUCAAGCUCAGAGAGAGGGAAAUGUUGAGUACAAAAAUGCAAAUUUUAGAGAUCUACAUACAGAGAGCAAGUUUUUAGAGCUUGAGAACAAAGAAGCAAAUUAAUGUUUAGGCUUAUU